AAGAAAAAGAAGGCCCAAACAACACAGCUUGCUUCUGCAUGGGCAAUGACAAUAGGACAAUCCAUUCUUACAGGGUACAGACUUCUGUGUGGGGAACUUGGAGUAGAAAUCCUACCCAUUGAUGCAGAUUGUCACCUUGCAUAUCUCUGAGAUACUGUGAGUUUGCUUCCAGAUCACCACAAUAAAGCCAUUAUCACAAUAAAG
This is a non-coding RNA of Phascolarctos cinereus (koala), 204 nucleotides long. NCBI's taxonomy places the organism in Eukaryota, Metazoa, Chordata, Mammalia, Diprotodontia, Phascolarctidae. The record is from RefSeq and is a predicted model, not a curated record.